CUUGGUCAUUUAGAGGAAGUAAAAGUCGUAACAAGGUUUCCGUAGGUGAACCUGCGGAAGGAUCAUUAAAAAUAUGAACCGGACCGGUCCGCUGCUUGCAGCGGGCUGCGAAGGGAGAUAUUAUACACCCUGUACUUUGUUUACCUUUGUUGCUUUGGCGGGCCGUCCGUUUAGGCGUUGGCUCCGGCCGAUCGUGCCCGCCAGAGGACCCAAACUCUUUUAUUAGUGAUGUCUGAGUACUAUAUAAUAGUUAAAACUUUCAACAACGGAUCUCUUGGUUCUGGCAUCGAUGAAGAACGCAGCGAAAUGCGAUAAGUAAUGUGAAUUGCAGAAUUCAGUGAAUCAUCGAAUCUUUGAACGCACAUUGCGCCCGCUGGUAUUCCGGCGGGCAUGCCUGUCCGAGCGUCAUUAUGACCAAUCAAGCUCUGCUUGGCCUUGGGGCCUUGGUCAUUUAGAGGAAGUAAAAGUCGUAACAAGGUUUCCGUAGGUGAACCUGCGGAAGGAUCAUUAAUGAAUUAAAGUCGGUCUUCUGUGCUGGUGGCAACACAUGUGCACGUUGAUCGCAAAUCCACACACCUGUGCACCUUUGACUUUGGGAUC
RNAcentral lists this ribosomal RNA (600 nucleotides) under fungal sp. 38 CC 06-28. RNAcentral's name for it is "eukaryotic LSU rRNA". The stretch from base 255 to 408 matches the Rfam family "5.8S ribosomal RNA". The record is from RNAcentral. Lineage: Eukaryota; Fungi.